UCCACAGUGGCGCAAUUGGGUAGCGCACGGUACUUAUAAGAAAGUGCUUGUGAGCAAUGCCGGGGUUGUGAGUUCGAGCCUCACUUGGGGAA
Molecule: transfer RNA, 92 nt
Filed under: Ixodes scapularis (black-legged tick)
Lineage: Eukaryota; Metazoa; Arthropoda; Arachnida; Ixodida; Ixodidae
Rfam family: tRNA
About the family: Transfer RNA (tRNA) molecules are approximately 80 nucleotides in length.
Source: Rfam by way of RNAcentral